RNAcentral lists this ribosomal RNA (253 nucleotides) under uncultured bacterium. RNAcentral describes it as "partial 16S ribosomal RNA". It matches the Rfam family "Bacterial small subunit ribosomal RNA", at positions 524 to 776 of the family's 1533-position model. The record is from RNAcentral.
UACGUAGGGGGCAAGCGUUGUCCGGAAUCAUUGGGCGUAAAGAGCGUGUAGGCGGUCCGGUCAGUCGGUUGUGAAAGUCAAGGGCUCAACCCUUGAAUGCCGGCCGAUACUGCCGGGCUAGAGUCCGGAAGAGGUGAGUGGAAUUCCUGGUGUAGCGGUGAAAUGCGCAGAUAUCAGGAGGAACACCGAUGGCGAAGGCAGCUCACUGGGACGGUACUGACGCUGAGACGCGAAAGCGUGGGGAUCAAACAGG